Molecule: long non-coding RNA, 269 nt
Filed under: Chlamydomonas reinhardtii
Lineage: Eukaryota; Viridiplantae; Chlorophyta; Chlorophyceae; Chlamydomonadales; Chlamydomonadaceae
Description: long non-coding RNA (CREI_LNC000550)
Source: RNAcentral
UUUGAGUGAAAUGAAUGAGUAUCGGCGGGUUAAGUAACAACAGAGGUUACCGCCCGUCCAACCGCAACCACACGUCCAACCUCACGCAGUUGGGUUGGGGCCGCGGGCACCAGCCCAACAUGCGUACUUAUGACGGGCCAUGCAGGGCUGAGGACUGCCCGGCCUUGCAGUGCGUGGGCCUGAAGAAGUUUGACGGCGAAAGGGUGUGAGCGGCAAGCGUUGGGGCAGUGGUUGCUUGAUGCGUCGUAAAAUUGACAAAGACAAGUCGG